RNAcentral lists this ribosomal RNA (1767 nucleotides) under Triticum aestivum (bread wheat). RNAcentral's name for it is "partial small subunit ribosomal RNA". Lineage: Eukaryota; Viridiplantae; Streptophyta; Magnoliopsida; Poales; Poaceae. The record is from RNAcentral.
CUGGGCCAAAGGGUGCCACGACCCACCCUUUCAGAAUUGAAAAUGAUAAUUAAGUUUACAAUAAGCAUUUGGCCCAGCCCAAAUAUAUCUGAGUCCAAUACACCGACUACCUGCUGCCACGCACGCUCGUCUCUCCUCCUUUCCCCCCAAAUCUACCAAACCUUAUCUGUUCUUCUAUCCCUAAAUCGACCAGUCCUCUGUUCUCCUCCCUUUCCCAAAUCAACCAGGUCUUUCACUCGCUUCUCGCUGCUGCCAACCGCUGGCCGCCGGCGUUGCCAACUUCCGCGCCCUCCAUAGUGAGGGCCCUCCAGGCCGCCACGACGGGUGUGGGGUGUCUGCUGAUGUUUGCUGCUUCUUCUCCUUCCCUCACUACCUUCUCCGCUCGUGUUGCCUGCUGCCGCCGACUGAUAAAUUAAUCGGUGAACUGUUGUUGAAGGGCCGAAGGAGCAAGACUGCUGCAAGAGGAAAGUAUGUUUCAAAAUUAAUUAAAGAAAAAUGAUUCAAUGAUUUUCUUCGUAGACUUGCAUAAAGUUUUGGUUGCCGUGUACUUUUUGAAGUUACUAUCUCCGUCAGCCAUGUAUUAUGCCAAAUUUUGAUAGCCUAACCAUCCAUAUUUUUUGUGAUAUGCACAUCAUUUAUGAAGUACAGGUUCAGAUCCAUCAUUCAUUCAUGCUUUUUGGGCUUCGACUUUUUCUAGUAGUAUAUCAGACAGUCAGCCAUCUUCUGAAUCAGAAAAAGAGGUGACAGUGAUUUUUGAAUUUUUUGUGAGGUAACACUGGCGAAACAGCAAACCAUGGUCCAGGAAAGCAUAUAUGUAGUUAUUGGCCAUAUGCAGGCAUCUUUUGGUCAGUCUGGUGUGUUCUAUAGUUGUCGCCUUGGACAACUUUUGGCCAGGCCGAUGUAUUCUACAGUUGAGGCAAUGGUGCACUUUUGGCCAGUCUGGUGUAUUCUAUAGUUGUGGCAAUGGAGUGGUCAUUAUCCACAAUACCAGGUUAUCUACAUAGCUACAGCUUGAAUCCGUAUGUGGUCAUUACUCACUCAUGCGGACUCCAUGGAGCUUUUGGUUAUUGGGUGCAACCGGUGGGAGACAGUAGCACGGCCUAUCUUCAGCUGAUUUGGAUGACGAGCUAAUAAUAGAAAGACUAUAGGCAUCGUAGCCUAUUCUGUUUGGCCGGAUGUGGCAUCUUUUUUGUGUUUUCUUUCGUUUUGCACUAAGAUUGUGGGCCUUUUGUGGUCCUAAGACUUUGUUACAUUACUUUUAAGAUGGUUGUAUGCAUCGAUUGAUGCAGAGGCUGGAGGUUUUUUCUCCUUUAAAAAAAUGCGACCAAGAGGAGGAGACCCCGGCACAUCUUAUCUUUGGGUGCCCUUACUCCAGAUGACAUUCCAGGGCUUGCUGCUGCAUCGUUGGCUGAAACUUCUAUCUUAGCUUGGUGGAAUGAAAUCAUUUGCCCUUUUGGAGCCAAGGCCUGCUCCACGGCCAUCUACACUCGAUGGAACAUAUGGAAGGAGAGGAAUAGGAGGAUCUUCGAUAGCAAACUCUUGCGGGAACACUAUCUGCUGGAGCUCAUCAAAACUGACAUUUUUCAGCCGGCACUCUCCAUGCACUGGCUUAGCGACACUGAGAAUGCCCUAGAACCUGAGCCUGAUUAACUUCGAAGCACUAGUUUCUAGUUUCCGUACUCCCUCCCCACCCCCAUGUACUUCUUGACAGACUCUUGUAUUUGAUUUACUCCUGCUUAAUAUAUCGGCGUCAAUGCUGCCAUUCCC